Molecule: ribosomal RNA, 563 nt
Filed under: uncultured bacterium
Lineage: Bacteria
Description: bacterial SSU rRNA
Rfam family: Bacterial small subunit ribosomal RNA
Source: RNAcentral
UGGGGAAUAUUGGACAAUGGGGGCAACCCUGAUCCAGCCAUGCCGCGUGUGUGAAGAAGGUCUUCGGAUUGUAAAGCACGUUAAGUUGGGAGGAAGGGCUUUAGGUUAAUACCCUGAAGUUUUGACGUUACCAACAGAAUAAGCACCGGCUAACUCUGUGCCAGCAGCCGCGGUAAUACAGAGGGUGCAAGCGUUAAUCGGAAUUACUGGGCGUAAAGCGCGCGUAGGUGGUUCAGUAAGAUGGGUGUGAAAUCCCCGGGCUUAACCUGGGAACUGCUUUCAUAACUGCUGAGCUAGAGUACGGUAGAGGGUAGUGGAAUUACCUGUGUAGCGGUGAAAUGCGUAGAUAUAUGAACGAACUCCAGUGGCGAAGGCGACUACCUGGACUGAUACUGACACUGAGGUGCGAAUAGCGUGGGGAGCAAACACGAUUAGAUAGCCCUGGUAGUUACGCCGUAAACGAUGUCAACUAGCCUGUGGAGUGCUUGAGACUUUAGUGGAGCAGCAAACGCACUAAGUUGACCGCAUGGGGAGUACUGUCGCAAGAUUACAUCUCUAAUGAA